This 306-nucleotide unclassified non-coding RNA is filed under the name plant metagenome. RNAcentral describes it as "partial contains 5.8S ribosomal RNA, internal transcribed spacer 2, and large subunit ribosomal RNA". The stretch from base 1 to 105 matches the Rfam family "5.8S ribosomal RNA", at positions 50 to 154 of the family's 154-position model. The record is from RNAcentral.
GAAAUGCGAUAAGUAAUGUGAAUUGCAGAAUUCAGUGAAUCAUCGAAUCUUUGAACGCACAUUGCGCCCGCCAGUAUUCUGGCGGGCAUGCCUGUCCGAGCGUCAUUUCAACCAUCAAGCCCCCGGGCUUGUGUUGGGGACCUGCGGCUGCCCGCAGGCCCUGAAAACCAGUGGCGGGCUCGCUGUCACACCGAGCGUAGUAGCAAUCACCUCGCUCAGGGCGUGCUGCGGGUUCCGGCCGUUAAACAGCCUUACAAAACCCAAGGUUGACCUCGGAUCAGGUAGGAAGACCCGCUGAACUUAAAC